GGUCAAACCUACCUUUCACAAGUUCAAAGAUUCAUUAAUUAAAGCUAAGCACUGUGGGCAAGCCCCUCUCUUUCUCUCUCUAGGCAAGCGAAAGUGACCCUCUCUUCAUCUCUGCCUUUCCCCAUUAAAAACCCCUACACGACCCGUCGCCCUCGGCUGCAGCCAGACUCAUGUGCGCCCUUCACAGGUGGCGUUUGGAUGCUUGUGCACCAC
Molecule: long non-coding RNA, 213 nt
Filed under: Amborella trichopoda
Lineage: Eukaryota; Viridiplantae; Streptophyta; Magnoliopsida; Amborellales; Amborellaceae
Description: long non-coding RNA (ATRI_LNC004269)
Source: RNAcentral